GAACGGACUAUACAAUUGAGUAAUCGAGCGUAUAGUUAGUGGCGUAAGGGUUAGUAAUGAAUAGGUAACGUACCCUGUACAUCAGGAUAGCGUCUAGGUGCUUGCACCUUUCCGAAAGGGGCGGUAAUACUGAAUGAUGUCAACUGUCGAUGGACAUUUGACCAAAAGAUUUAUCGGUAUGGGAGCGGCCUAUUUCCUAUCAGCUUGUUGGCGAGGUAACGGCUCACCAAGGCUAAGACGGGUAGCGGGACUGAGAGGUUGACCCGCAACAUCGGGACUGAGACACUGCCCGGACCUCCACGGAGGGCUGCAGUAACGAAUAUUGCGCAAUGAGCGAAAGCUUGACGCAGCGACGCCGCGUGUAGGAUGAAGUCUUUCGGGAUGUAAACUACUGUCAGGGAUACGAAAGUCUGCUUCGGCAGAUUGAUCUACCCCAGAGGAAGUCACGGCUAACUUCGUGCCAGCAGCCGCGGUAAGACGAAGGUGGCAAGCGUUGUUCGGUAUUACUGGGCUUAAAGCGUGUGUAGGCGGAAUUGUAAGCGUUUUGUGAAAUCCCUCGGCUUAACCGAGGAAUUGCUCGACGAACUGCUUUUCUUGAGGCAAGUAGGGGUGCACGGAACUCUUGGUGGAGCGGUGGAAU
RNAcentral lists this ribosomal RNA (640 nucleotides) under uncultured bacterium. Its description in RNAcentral is "bacterial SSU rRNA". It matches the Rfam family "Bacterial small subunit ribosomal RNA", at positions 64 to 687 of the family's 1533-position model. The record is from RNAcentral.